This 266-nucleotide ribosomal RNA is filed under the name uncultured Staphylococcus sp. RNAcentral's name for it is "partial 16S ribosomal RNA". It matches the Rfam family "Bacterial small subunit ribosomal RNA", at positions 96 to 356 of the family's 1533-position model. Lineage: Bacteria; Bacillati; Bacillota; Bacilli; Caryophanales; Staphylococcaceae. The record is from RNAcentral.
CGGCGGACGGGUGAGUAACACGUGGAUAACCUACCUAUAAGACUGGGAUAACUUCGGGAAACCGGAGCUAAUACCGGAUAAUAUAUUGAACCGCAUGGUUCAAUAGUGAAAGACGGUUUUGCUGUCACUUAUAGAUGGAUCCGCGCCGCAUUAGCUAGUUGGUAAGGUAACGGCUUACCAAGGCAACGAUGCGUAGCCGACCUGAGAGGGUGAUCGGCCACACUGGAACUUAGACACGGUCCAGACUCCUACGGGAGGCAGCAGCG